UAGUAACGUCGAGUGAAGCGGCAUCAGCUCAAAUUUGAAAUCUGGCUCUUUCAGAGUCCGAGUUGUAAUUUGCAGAGGGCGCUUUGGUGUCGGCAGCGGUCCAAGUUCCUUGGAACAGGACGUCAUAGAGGGUGAGAAUCCCGUACGUGGUCGCUGACCUACACCGUGUAAAGCCCCUUCGACGAGUCGAGUUGUUUGGGAAUGCAGCUCUAAAUGGGAGGUAAAUUUCUUCUAAAGCUAAAUACUGGCCAGAGACCGAUAGCGCACAAGUAGAGUGAUCGAAAGAUGAAAAGCACUUUGGAAAGAGAGUCAAACAGCACGUGAAAUUGUUGAAAGGGAAGCGCUUGCAGCCAGACUUGCUUGUAGUUGCUCAUCCGGGCUUUUGCCCGGUGCGCUCUUCUGCGAGCAGGCCAGCAUCAGUUUGGACGGAUGGAUAAAGGCCUCUGUCACGUACCUUCUCUCGGGAAGGCCUUAUAGAGGAGGCGUCAUGCAACCAGUCUGGACUGAGGUCCGCGCAUCUGCUAGGAUGCUGGCGUAAUGGCUGUAAGCGGCCCGUCUUGAAAC
Molecule: ribosomal RNA, 564 nt
Filed under: fungal sp.
Lineage: Eukaryota; Fungi
Description: partial large subunit ribosomal RNA
Rfam family: Eukaryotic large subunit ribosomal RNA
Source: RNAcentral